UGAAUGUUGGGGAUGAUGAAUAGUGUGAGGAAAAGGGGGAGAAAGGGGUUUAAGGGGUGAAAAACCCGACUGGGGCCCACUUGGGGAGGCUCCGCCCUUUUCCCGCGGUCCUGGCCCGCGCCCGCGGCCGGCAAACGUGGGGGAGAGUCAGGGGACCCGCGGUCCCGCCCCGCGGCCGCGGGUGGUGACCGCGGGUGUCU
This 200-nucleotide long non-coding RNA is filed under the name Salvia miltiorrhiza (redroot sage). RNAcentral describes it as "long non-coding RNA (SMIL_LNC003358)". The record is from RNAcentral. Lineage: Eukaryota; Viridiplantae; Streptophyta; Magnoliopsida; Lamiales; Lamiaceae.